This 157-nucleotide ribosomal RNA is filed under the name Amylostereum areolatum. RNAcentral's name for it is "5.8S ribosomal RNA". It matches the Rfam family "5.8S ribosomal RNA". Rfam says of the family: 5.8S ribosomal RNA (5.8S rRNA) is a component of the large subunit of the eukaryotic ribosome. The record is from RNAcentral. Lineage: Eukaryota; Fungi; Basidiomycota; Agaricomycetes; Russulales; Stereaceae.
CAACUUUCAACAACGGAUCUCUUGGCUCUCGCAUCGAUGAAGAAACGCAGCGAAAUGCGAUAAGUAAUGUGAAUUGCAGAAUUCAGUGAAUCAUCGAAUCUUUGAACGCACCUUGCGCCCCUUGGUAUUCCGAGGGGCACACCUGUUUGAGUGUCGU